GCAAUGAGCUAAGAUUAUGCCUGUGAAUAGCCACUGCACUCUAGCCUGGGUGACAGAGCAAGACCCUGUCUGAAAAAAAAAAAAAAAAAAAAAAAGACAGGUUUAAGUAACUCCCCACCCCCAGGUGCUGGGGUUAGUGAUGUGUCUGGGCUUGAAUGGCUCUGUCCAUUUGGUGCUGUGUUCACUGAGCCAAGUUGAGUGCGGGGUCCUGUGCUGGGCCCUGGGAUUCGGGGAUGGGUAAGUGACUUCCCUGCUAUGCAGGAUUUGAUUUAUGUUCCUCCUGGAUGUCUGCAGUGCCACCCACCCCUGCCUUUGCUGCUUUGCUGCCGAAGACCCCCAGGCUGUUUUGGCCUUGGUGGGGCGAGGGCUGGGCUGCUGCGUGUCUUCCAGGUUUCAGAUUGAGAAGAAGGCCACAUUGAGGGGCAUGGGGUGGACUGACUGGGAAAGCUAAUUAGCAUCCUUUGGGGCAAAGUACAACUAUGGGGCAAAAUACAACUAAGGACAGGAAGGAGCUGAGGAAUAAAUGCCUCUCCCCGACUUCCCUGAUGUGGGCUUCUGAGACCAUGGCUCAUGGAGAUGGGCCGCAUGGCUGAGCAUCAGCUGGGUUUUCUUCUGAAGCCAUAGCCAGCUCAUGCACCUGCCUCACCUCCCUUCCCCUCCCUGUUGCUAGUCUAGGGUGCCCUCCCCUCAACCCCAAACCCCUGCCAAAGAAAAGGCAUCAGCAGUGAACUUUGUCCUGGCUCUGUUUUGCAGGGAACCUGGGCCAGAAUCAUGGUCCCCAAAGAUUACCAUGUGAUAAUGCCUGGAGCCAUUGACUAUCAUCUUACAUGGCAAAGGGACAUGGUGGGUGUAGUUAGUGACCUUGCAAUGAGGAGGUCAUCCUGGAUGAUCCAGGUGGGCCCAGUGUGUUCGCUAGUGUCUGUAUAAGAGGGACAUGGGGAGCUUUGACUGCCCAUGAACAUGGCAGCUUGACCCUGGAGGCAAGGUGGUAGCUUCUGGCUCUGAAGAUGGAAGAAGGGGCCAUGCACUAAUGGAUGCAGGCGGCCUCUGCCUCUAGAAGUGGAAAAGACAAAGAAAUGGAUUCUCCACUAGAGAACCCAGAAGGAACCCUGGAGCCUCCAGAAGGAACCAGCCCUGCUGACACCUGGAUUUUAGCCCAGUGGAACAGAUUUUGGACUUUGACCUCUAGGACUGCAAGAGAAUCCACUGAGCCAUUGGAAGCCCCUGGAUUUGUGUUAAUUUGUUACAGCAGCCACAAGCAACUAACACCAUCCCGUUCUCCAGGCUGCUGCCUCCAGCUGCAGCUGGCGUGCCCUGGCCACUGGGGCCAGGAAGGGUGGGUUUUGGUACCUGCAGCGGCAGCAUCCUUGGCCAUUUCCUGGAAGGGCCAGUUGCCAGACACUGAGAUGCCUGUUACUGCAACUGUCCCACCAGCCUGGAGCACGUGUUUCUGGAGACAGGCAAAUUCUGGAAGGCUCCACCUGCUCUCAGACUACAGGUUGCGUCUCAAAGCAGGCUGGCAGACGUUUUCCACUCUUGAUCAAUCAUUUUCCAAAAUAAGCAUAGACACAGCAACCCGGAGAGCAGCUUCGGUUUGGCUGUCAGUGGCGUGUUAGUUACUGUAGUGGUGGCACAGAGGCGAAUACGUUAAAUAUUAGUUCUCACUGACUAUAGCUUUUUAAACAGAGCAGCGUGUGGGUGGCAGCAGGUGAGUUGGCUAUGCUGAGCUUGGGCUGCCCUUGGUUGAUUCUUGUUUGUCAGGCAUGCAGGGGGCUCUCUGUGCGUCCAGGCAUUUUCCCUGUCUGGAUUUGCUUGUGUUCAUGGAUUUUCAGCACCUCCUUUCUUCUGGUUUGGGAAUGAGUCAGGUCCUCACUACACAAGGCCAGAGCAGUAUGCGUGUGUGGGUAGGGGUGAGCAGGUGUCAUUCCCUGCCUCCCCUCCUCCUUCACUGCCCCAGCCACCCUGACCACCUUGCUGUUCCGAGGACACACUUAGCCAGUGCCCACUGGGCAUCAGGUGAAAGGGGACAUCCCACAAGCCCACCCUCACUUCUGACACCAAUGGCAAGUUCAGGAUCUCCAACACUGCCCUGAGGUUUGAUCAUUUGCUAGAGGGACUCCCAGAACCCACUUAAAGCUGUCACCCUCACAGUUACAGUUUCUGAUGGUGAAGGGAUACACAUGAAAAUCAGCCGAGGGAAGAGUUGCCCAGGGCAGAGUUGAACGCACCCACACAGCGCCUCCAUUGUCCUUUCACCAUGGGGUCAUAGGCAGCGUUACUUUCCCGGUGAUGUGGGACAAUGUGCAUGCAGUAUUGCCAGCUGGGGAAGUCGUCUGAGCCUCCGUGUCCAGAGUUUCUGCUGGAGCUCAUUUGCAUGGGUGUGGCUGACUGUCCACAUGGCUCAUCUGUCUCCAGCCCCUCCAGCAGCUGGCUGAUAGAGUGCAACCCAAAGCCCCCUCCCUGAAUCACAUAGUUACUCCCUGGCUGGCCCGAGGGCCCCAGGUAAGCAGAGGUACUUUAUCUGGCAGGGCAUUUCGGAGCUUAGGAGAUCACCUCCCAGGGGCUGAGGUCACAGGCCCAACCUUUCUGUGGGCAAGGUUAGGUUCAUUAUCACGUACCUGGUCUUUGGACUUUCAAAGGCCCAUGCCUGGAGCUGUCUUCAACACUUCUUUCAGUUUUCUCUCAAUGCUUCCUCCUUGGAGACGUAUUUCCUGCCCCUGUCACUCCAUCACUCUCCUCCUAACCCCAGUUACUUUUUCUUUGCUGGGCUUGCUGCUGCCUGGAGUCAUUUCCUAUUUACUAGUUUGUUUUUGGUCUUUCUCCUCCUCUAGAAUGUAAUCUUAUGCUGUGGGGGACCAUGACCAUUCUCUUCCCAGCUAAAUCCCCAGGGCUGGAGUCGUGCUGCACAUGCAGAGCUAAUUCAUCCUUGAUAGAUAGUAAGAGAACCGAUGGGGGUCUGUGUCAGCAGCACCAACAUGAGGUUCACACCAGCGUCUCCCAAGAUGGCAUGCGGCUUAGAGACAAGACAGAUGUGGUUGCUUUUUGUUGUUGUUGUUUUGUGUUGUUGUUUUGAGAUAGGGUCUUACUCUAUCACUCUAUCACCCAGGCUGGAGUGCAAUGGCAUGAUCUCAGCUUAUUGCAACCUCUGCCUCCCAGGCUCAAGUGAGUCUCCUGCCUCAGCCUCCCAAGUAAAUGGGAUUAUAGGUAUGCACCAUGAUGCCCGGCUAAUUUUUUGUAUUUUUAGUAGAGAGGGGGCUUCACCAUGUUGGCCAGGCUGGUCUCAAACUCCUGAUCUCAAGUGAUCUGCCUGUCUUGGCCUCCCAAAGAGCUGGGCUUACAGGCGUGAGCCAUUGCAUGCCCAGCCAGAUGUGUUUUUUUGUUUUUUUUGUUUUUUUUCUCUACCCCAAACCUGUGAGAUGGCAGGGAGGAGGCUCUGGGAAGAGGGGGUGAGGGUUGGGGUAAACCUGUGGAUUGGAUGCUGAUGUAGGUGGUCCCAGGUGCUCCCUUGGGAGGAGAUGGACAGUCCGGAUGGUGCAGAUAAAACACCUCCAUCCACAUUACCUGCGUAAUUCUCUUUGCUUUCCAGAACAUCCUUUGUGUACUGUGGACUGUGAUGAUCUAAUGCUAGUGGAUUACAUGUAAGUAGGCCUUAGUAGAAGCCACCUCCCAGUGGUUCCUCGGAGGCAUUUGGUCCAGAAGCAGAUGAUUUUAGUGCAAAGCACAGACCGUAUGCAGGCCUGAGCAGAUCAGGGGACAGACAGAUCUGGCUGACAUCCUGACCCGCUGGAUAUGGUGGUGUGGCCAUUGCUUGUAGCCACAUUGCAGUCUUGAAUGUCCCCCUUGGAAAUGGGGGACAUUUCCAAGGAUGCCUGCCUGGUCCUCUAGUUUUCUCUUUCUCUGUUCUCUGUCAUCUGCACUUUUUCCCUCUUGUCUUGAUUGCUUGUCCUGUCUCCCCUAGUAGAUACCCCCUCUGACCUCUGCUGCCUCAGGACUGUUGCUGUAUAAAAUAUUGUGAGCUGCCCUCUGCUCCUGUUUAAAAAAAAAAAAAAAAAAAUCCUUAGUUCUGGGUAAGCUAGGCACUGAGAAUGAGGCCAGUCAUUCAAAACUUGUCUCUGAGCAUUGAUUAUACUCAUGUAUUAUACUGUUAAGGGGUGAAGGUCGGCUCUAGGGUCAGCUUCCUGGAUUUAAAUCCCAACUCAGAUUAAAGUGGGAGAAUAAUAGCACCAACCUGACAACCUCAAAGUGUCAUUUGUAAGAAUAAUGUUAGAUCAUACACUUGAUCACCCGUUAGCAGUGUCAGGGCAGUGCUGGGAACAUGAGCAUGAACAGGGCAGCCCAGGAGGGAGUUGAAUGGACAGAUGGGCAAUGCCAGUUUGGAAGUGGGUGCAUGCAUCCGGUGGGUUCAGGAGCCUAGAAGACUUAUCCAAAAGUCAUCUUUGCUGGUGUUUCUUCCUGUGUAUUUUCUCUAACCUUCUCCAGCAGUGACCCGAAUUACUUAUGGGUGAACACUGAAUGCUGCCCAGGCAACUAGAGGUUUAUAGAUGAGAUACUUUAAAUUUUUAAUGAUUCUUAAAAGAGGGAGUGGCUAUUCUUAUGCUUUCCAGAAUGAAUAGCCAAGGGAAACCUAUACAGUUGCCAUGUAAGGAGAAACCUAGACCUGGCCUUAGCCUCUAGGUCCUGGUGCAGAUUCUUAGCACGUAGCGCCUAAAACCUUCCUGAGUGAUAGGAGCGUCUUUUGUUAUUCAUAAUGAGAUCUGGGUUUAUGCUAAUGAGGUGACUCAGGGUGGGGGCUGGCCCCAGAGUAACCAACACAGGAUUAGAGGGUUGGGGCUAUCAGUCCUACCCACCCCCAGCCUCUGGGUGGGGUGGAGAGGGGCUGGAGAGUGAAUCAAAUGACCAAUAGCCAAUGAUGUAAUCAGUCACACUUACAUAAUGAAUCCUCCGCAAAACCCAUCAACGGUGGGGUUCAGAGAGCUUUGGCGCUGGGAAACACACAUGGAGGUGCUGGAGGGGGACACGCAGGGAGAGGGCAUGGAAGCCCUGCCUCCCUCCCCGAAAACUCUGUCCUGUGCAGUGUUUCUUAUUAAUUACACUGUCCCUGAGUUCUUUUUUUUUUUUUGAGACGGAGUCUCACACUGUCGGCCAGGUUACAGUGCAGUGGUGCAAUCUCAGCUCACUGCAACCUCUGCCUCCCGGGUUCAAGCGAUUCUCCUGCCUCAGCCUCCCAAGUAGCUGGGAUUACAGGCGCCCGCCACUACGCCCAGCUAAUUUUUUGUAUUUUAGUAGACAUGGGGUUUGACCAUAUUGCCCUGGCUGGUUGCGAACUCCUGAGCUCAGGCAAUCUGCCUGCCUCAGCCUCCCAAAGUACUGGGAUUACAGGCAUGAGCCACCAUGCCUGGCCUGCUGUGCCCGAGUUCUAACCUUUAUAGUAAGUUGGUAAUCCUCAGUAAAAUGCUUUUCUGAGCUCUGUGUGUUCUGCCAAAUCACUGAACCUGAGGUGAGGGCCCUGAUUUGUAAUCAGUGGGAAGAGGCUCAAGUAGCCUGGGAGCCCCAUCUGCAGCUGGUGUCUGGAAUGAAGUCAGUUUGGUGGGACUCAGCCCUCAGCCUGUGGGGUCAACUGUAGCUAGUGUUAGAAUCAGACUGAACUCUAGGACACCCCAUUGGUAUCAGAUAAUCAGAGAAUUGCUGUUGGAAUUUUCAUGUGCGUCCGUGUGAAGAGGCCACCAAGCAGGCUUUGUGUGAGCAACAUGGCUGUUUAUUUCACCUGGGUGCAUGCGGCUGAGUCCGAAAAGACAGUCAGCGAAGGGAGAUAGGGGUGGGGCCAUUUUAUAGGAUUUGGGAAGGUAAUGGAAAAUUACAGUCAAAGGGGGUUGUUCUCUGGUGGGCAGGGGUGGAUCUCACAAAGUACAUUCUCAAGGGUGGGGAGAAUUACAAAGAACCUUCUUAAGGGUGGGGGAGAUUACAAAGUACAUUGAUCAGUUAGGGUGGGGCAGGAACAAAUCACAAUGCUGGAAUGUCAUCAGUUAAGGCUGUUUUUACUUCUUUUGUGGAUCUUCAGUUAAUUUAGGCCAUCUGGAUGUAUACGUGCAAGUCACAGGGGAUGCGAUGGCCUGGCCUGGGCUCAGAGGCCUGACAGGAAUGACACAUUGGGUGUCAGAAAAAAACCGCAGAAAACUCCCUAAGCAGAUUGGUUGAAAGCAGGCUGACUGCAUGUCAUCUGGGGGUGCGUCUCCCCCCAAGAGCAGGUUUCACAUCUCAUUCCCCGGUUGAUUGGACAAGACCCUUCCUGUCUUUAAGUUCUGUUUUCUUCCUCCCUUUGUCUCUGCGAAGAAAAUCAGCUGCAUGAAAACGAUCCUCUGGCAGAAAUUGGUGCUGUUGGAGCCGCACAGAGGUGCCCUCCCGUGCCCCCUGGCCCCCACCGGGCCGUGUCUCCUCCUGCCUGUUGCAAUCAGCCCUCGUCCGACUCUCUUUGGAAGUGAUUAAAACAUAACUGUCAUAGCUCUGGGGGAGACAGGCUGCAGAUCCUGAUUAUAAUUCAGAAGGAUCUAAAGAAAAAGUAAUUUAAAAAAAAAAUUCUGGUUAAAGCCAAAGCUCAUAAGACGUGUGUGAUGGAGUGGUAUGCAAGAGCACAAUUAAUGUAUGUCCUAGACAUCUGCCCACAGGAUUCAGGGCUGGCAAAUGAGUGCGUCCCUAAAAAUAAUGACUAGUGCUAUCUUUAAAAAGUCUUUUGUGGCAUAGCAGAUUAAGAUGGAUGGCCUGGGAAGUACAGUGGCAGCAUGUGCUGUGGUAUCCAGGAAUAAGUUGUACCUCCUCGGGGUGGCAGUGGAACUGGGCCGUGAACAGCUUUUGCUUCCCAGAGAGGACUGCCAUGGCCUGCUGCGUGGAAUUUGAUUUUAAUCUGUUUGUUAUUUUUGGGUUUGGUCUUGGACUGGGUUUGAAAUCCAGAUGUGACUUUUUUUUUCUUUUUUCAGUUUUCUUUAUAGCAGCAAUGUUGUAUCUUGUGUGUUUCCUAACAAGACUGAGCUCUGAGCAAGGCAGCCUCUGGAACCAAAUGUCUGCAGGCCCAGGAGACCUUUCUAGAAAGUUCAUAGGCGGUUCUGCAGUUUGAACCCCUUCUGUGGGUCUGUGCCUGCUUUAGCCGCUGGAGAUAUGGCAUUGAACAAAACACAGGCCCCGCCUGGGAGAAGCUGCCAGGCCAGCUGGGGAGACAGACCUGAUAAGUGAAAAUGAGAUCACGUGGCCUGCAUGCUCCGAAGAAGACUAAGGCAGGAAACAGGACUAUUUUCUCCCGACUGAAUUGUCCUGGUAUCCUUGUUAAUAUCAGUUGACUGUGACUUGAGACUUAUCUUGGACGCCCCUUUCUGUUCCGUGGGUCGGUGUCUGCCUUGAUGUCAGUCCCACAGUUUCGACAACUGGAGCUUUGUAGUCAGGUGUGAAACAGUGCAGUGUGGGUCCUCCAGUUUUGUUCAUCUUUUUCAGAUUGUUUUGGCAAUCCAGGAGUCCCUUGAAUUUACAUAUGCAUUUUAUUUUAUUUUAAUUAUUAAUAUUAUUAUUAUUUUUUAGAUGGAGUCUUGCUCUGUUGCUGGAGUGCAGUGGUGCAAUCUCGGCUCACUGCAACCUCUGCCUCCCAGGUUCCAGCGAUUCUCCUGCCUCAGCCUCUCGAGUAGCUGGAAUUACAGGCAUGCACCACCAUGCCCAGCUAAUUUUUGUAUUUUCAGUAGAGACAGGGUUUCACCAUGUUGGCCAGGCUGGUCUCAAUCUCCUGACCUUAAGUGAUCCACCAGCCUCGGCCUCCCAGAGUGCUGGGAUUACAGGCGUGAGCCAUUGCGCCCGGCCUAUAUAUGCAUUUAAGACCUGCUUGUCAAGUUCUUUAGAAGCCAUCUGGAUAGUGAUUAAUUUAUAAAAAUGAUACUUAUUAUCUUUUUGAACUGCCAAAGUAAUAUAUGCUGCUGAAAACCUGGAAGACAGAAAAAUCCAACAGAAGGCAGGGCUAAUUUUUUUUUUUUUCCAUGUAUGUCCCUUCAGGCUUCUCUGUGUUUUUCAUUUUUCCUACACAAAUUUGGAAUCAUUCCAGAGCUAGUAAGCAUCUAGGGCCACAUUUGGACUAGUACCUUGGGAUAAAUUAGAGCUGGAAUUGCCAGGUCAUAUAGUAUGCACAGGGCUAGGGACUGACUUAUUUUCCUUUCUGAAAGAAGACUCUGAGGUCUAGAGAGGUUAAAUGAGUGACUCGAGGUCACACAGCUAAAACUCUGGUGGAGCUGGGUCUUAAUGCAGACCCUACAUAUUCAUGCCAUGCUGUAUUUAUACAGGCAUGUACACCAGCGGGUUGGGAUUUUAGGGGGUGUUUUAAAAUUCUGCCUGCAAAACCUUUUUUUUUUUUUUUUUGAGACAGGGUCUUGCUCUGUUGCCCAGGCUGGAGUGCAGUGUCACCAUCACAGCUCACUGCAGCUUCCUCCCAGGCUCAAGCAAUCCUCCUGCCUCAGACCCCUGAGUAGCUGGGACUACAGGUGUGCACUGCCACACCUGGCUAAUUUUUAAUUUUUUUUGUAGAGAUGGGGUCUCAUUUUGUUGCCCAGGGUAGUCUCAAACUCCUGGGCUCAAACACUCAUCCUGCAUCAGCCUCCCAAAGUGCUAGGAUUGCAGGUGUGAGCCGCUGCCCCAGGCAAACCCAUUUUAAAGCCAUGAGCCAAAUAUUAUAAAAGACAUGCAAAAUAUUAUGAGUAGUCACUUAUCUAGUAUUUGCGGCAUCUCUCAGGCUUGGGGCUUUGCUGGGAGCUCUGAGGGGGUGGAAGAGGCUCUGUCACUGGCCUUACCUGGCUGUCAAGGGCUGAGUGUUUGGUGGAGGGAAGAGGUCUGCAGCCUGGGAGGCUGCGGGUCAGAAGGAGGUCAGCCGGGGAGCUGGGAGGAUCAUGGGGAACCCGUGGUGGAAAUCAGCAUGGCGAGAGAGUGGAAGCAGGCAGAGGAGGGCUUUGAAGACCAAAAAGGGUAGUUAGGAUUGCUGCUCUGUGUGUCUGUAAACUUGGUGUUGUCUCUCGAAUUUAAAUGACACACUUUGAAAACAAAAAAACAAACAAAAACCAAACCCAUAAAAUCUCACUAAGUGGCCAGAGCAAGUUCCCGGGGGGUGGCGCAUAGAUGCAGCGGUCCGGGUUAUGUGGCUGGGGGAGUUGGCUUGGGGUCCGUGGCUGGGUCAGUCUUCAAGAGCCACCCUGGGUGGCACUCCAGGUCUCUUGGUCUGGGGGGAAUACCCUGACCCCAGCGGUUUCACGGCCUCCUCCCCACUCAGCCUGGGGGAGAGUCCAGGGUUGGCCCUGUCCCCCUCCCCCCACUCCUGUCACUAUCAGUCCCCUGUGCUCAGCUCACUGGCAGGGUUCCUCCUGGCUGUCCCCUCUGCCUCCAGCGCUCUUUCCUCAGGUGUCCACGCAGCUCGUCCUCACCCUUUUCUGUCUCUGCUCAGAUGCCGCCUGAGGCUCCCAAAACAGGGUCUCACUCUGUCGCCCAGGGUGGAGUGCAGUGGUGCAAUCACAGCUCACUGCAUCCUUGACCUCCCAGGCUCAAGCGAUCCUCCUGCCAGCGAGCUUGUUACAAUUCCUGCACCAACACGGAUACAUUGUUACUAAGGCCCUGUACCAACACAGAUAGAUUGUUACUAACUAAGGCCCUACACCAGAACGGAUACAUUGUACAUUGUAACUAAAGCCCUGCACCAACACAGAUACAUUGUUACUAAGUAAGGCCCUGCACCAACACAGAUACAUUGUUACUAAGUAAGGCCCUGCACCAACACAGAUACAUUGUUACUAAGUAAGGCCCUGCACCAACACAGAUACAUUGUUACUAAGUAAGGCCCUGCACCAACACAGAUACAUUGUUACUAAGUAAGGCCCUGCACCAACACAGAUACAUUGUUACUAAGUAAGGCCCUGCACCAACACAGAUACAUUGUUACUAAGUAAGGCCCUGCACCAACACAGAUACAUUGUUACUAAGGCCCUGCACCAACACAGAUACAUUGUUACUAAGUAAGGCCCUGCACCAACACAGAUACAUUGUUACUAAGUAAGGCCCUGCACCAACACAGAUACAUUGUUACUAAGUAAGGCCCUGCACCAACACAGAUACAUUGUUACUAAGUAAGGCCCUACACCAACACAGAUACAUUGUUACUAAGUAAGGCCCUGCACCAACACAGAUACAUUGUUACUAAGUAAGGCCCUGCACCAACACAGAUACAUUGUUACUAAGUAAGGCCCUGCACCAGAACGGAUACAUUGUACAUUGUAAUUAAAGCCCUGCAGCAACACGGACACAUCGUUACUAACUAAGGCCCUGCACCAACACAGAUACAUUGUUACCAAGGCCCUGUACCAACACACAUACAUUGUUACUAAGGCCCUGCACCAACACAGAUACAUUGUUACUAAGUAAGGCCCUGCACCAACACAGAUACAUUGUUACUAAGGCCCUGCACCAACACAGAUACAUUGUUACUAGCUAAGGCCCUGCACCAACACAGAUACAUUGUUACUAACUAAGGCCCUGCACCAACACAGAUACAUUGUUACUAAGUAAGGCCCUGCACCAACACAGAUACAUUGUUACUAAGGCCCUGCACCAACACAGAUACAUUGUUACUAGCUAAGGCCCUGCACCAACACAGAUACAUUGUUACUAAUUAAGGCCCUACACCAGAACGGAUACAUUGUACAUUGUUACUAAAGCCCUGCACCGACACGAACACAUCGUUACUAACUAAGGCCCUGCACCAACACAGAUACAUUGUUACUAAGUAAGGCCCUGCACCAACACGGAUACAUCCCAUUACUAACUACGGAGGUGCUUUAUUCAGAUAUCCUCAGUGUCACCUGCUCUCCUUUGGCCGUCUCAGGGUUCCUCCCAGGACACCACAUUGCAUUCAGUCCUGAGGCUUCUCUGGGCUCUGACAGUUUCUCAGACUUUCCUUGUUUCUGUUGACCUUGACAGUUUUGAGGAGUACUGCUCAGAGAGUUUGUAGACUGUCCCUCUGUUGGGGUUUGUCUGAUGCUUUCUUC
RNAcentral lists this small RNA (11051 nucleotides) under Pan troglodytes (chimpanzee). RNAcentral describes it as "sense intronic". Lineage: Eukaryota; Metazoa; Chordata; Mammalia; Primates; Hominidae. The record is from RNAcentral.